RNAcentral lists this ribosomal RNA (776 nucleotides) under Nocardiopsis sp. DST105. RNAcentral's name for it is "bacterial SSU rRNA". It matches the Rfam family "Bacterial small subunit ribosomal RNA", at positions 57 to 837 of the family's 1533-position model. The record is from RNAcentral. Lineage: Bacteria; Bacillati; Actinomycetota; Actinomycetes; Streptosporangiales; Nocardiopsidaceae.
GCAGUCGAGCGGUAAGGCCCUUCGGGGUACACGAGCGGCGAACGGGUGAGUAACACGUGAGCAACCUGCCCCUGACUCUGGGAUAAGCGGUGGAAACGCCGUCUAAUACCGGAUACGACCCACCACCUCAUGGUGGAGGGUGGAAAGUUUUAUCGGUCAGGGAUGGGCUCGCGGCCUAUCAGCUUGUUGGUGGGGUAACGGCCUACCAAGGCGAUUACGGGUAGCCGGCCUGAGAGGGCGACCGGCCACACUGGGACUGAGACACGGCCCAGACUCCUGCGGGAGGCAGCAGUGGGGAAUAUUGCACAAUGGGCGAAAGCCUGAUGCAGCGACGCCGCGUGGGGGAUGACGGCCUUCGGGUUGUAAACCUCUUUUACCACCAACGCAGGCUCCACGUUCUCGUGGGGUUGACGGUAGGUGGGGAAUAAGGACCGGCUAACUACGUGCCAGCAGCCGCGGUAAUACGUAGGGUCCGAGCGUUGUCCGGAAUUAUUGGGCGUAAAGAGCUCGUAGGCGGCAUGUCGCGUCUGCUGUGAAAGACCGGGGCUUAACUCCGGUUCUGCAGUGGAUACGGGCAUGCUAGAGGUAGGUAGGGGAGACUGGAAUUCCUGGUGUAGCGGUGAAAUGCGCAGAUAUCAGGAGGAACACCGGUGGCGAAGGCGGGUCUCUGGGCCUUACCUGACGCUGAGGAGCGAAAGCAUGGGGAGCGAACAGGAUUAGAUACCCUGGUAGUCCAUGCCGUAAACGUUGGGCGCUAGGUGUGGGGACUUUCCACG